CCUACGGGCGGCAGCAGUGGGGAAUAUUGCACAAUGGGGGAAACCCUGAUGCAGCGACGCCGCGUGAGUGAAGAAGUAUUUCGGUAUGUAAAGCUCUGUCAGCAGGGAAGAAAAUGACGGUACCUGACCAAAACCCCCCGGCUAACUACGGUCCAGCAGCCCCGGUAAUACGAAGGGGGCAGGCGUUAUCCGGAUUUACUGGGGGAAAGGGGGGCGUAGACGGCAGGGCAAGUCUGGAGGGAAAGGUGGGGGCUCAACCCCCGGACUGCUCUGGAAACUGCCAGGCUGGAGUGCAGGAGAGGUAAGUGGAAUUCCUAGUGUAGCGGUGAAAUGCGUAGAUAUUAGGAGGAACACCAGUGGCGAAGGCGGCUUACUGGACUGUAACUGACGUUGAGGCUCGAAAGCGUGGGGAGCAAACAGGAUUAGAUACCCCAGUAGUC
This 440-nucleotide ribosomal RNA is filed under the name uncultured bacterium. Its description in RNAcentral is "partial 16S ribosomal RNA". It matches the Rfam family "Bacterial small subunit ribosomal RNA", at positions 338 to 795 of the family's 1533-position model. The record is from RNAcentral.